Non-coding RNA from Nothobranchius furzeri (turquoise killifish), 1193 nucleotides. The record is from RefSeq and is a predicted model, not a curated record. NCBI's taxonomy places the organism in Eukaryota, Metazoa, Chordata, Actinopteri, Cyprinodontiformes, Nothobranchiidae.
CACAGGUCUGCGGCAGUUAGGCUGUUUGUGGUGUGUCAGAGCAGAGAAGCUUCUGUUGACUCACAGCAGCGCUCCUGUCUCCACCAAAGAUGCACAGCUGGGUUGUGAUUUGUUGGACUCUCCUGGUCCUGGUUGGUGCUCAUGAAUGUCCAGAUGGAGGAAGGUGCAAAGAGGGUCAAACCUGUUGCAACAGCCCCACUAAUGACUACAAGUGCUGCCCAUUUGAUCAGGCUGAAUGCUGUGAGGAUCAUGUCCACUGCUGCCCAGCAGACACGGUCUGUGACAAAGAAACAUCCAGCUGUGUGAAUAAAACCAUGUCCAUUCCAUGGAAGGAAAGAACAUCUGCAGACCACACCCAAAUCUCCAGAUCUUUCAGGAUGAUCAGGAGCUCCACGGACAACGACUAUGAAACUGUCUGCUCCGAUGAGUCAUGAUGUCCUGCUGAGUAUUCCUGCCAGAAGUCUUUGACUAAGUUUGGCUGCUGCCCAGUAGCUAAAAUAGCAAAAUCCCUUGUGAUGAAAAAGUAGCCUGUCCUGAUGGAACCACAUGCUGCGAACUGCUUUCGGGCAACUGGGGCUGUUGCAUCUACCCUAAUGAACAACUGGGAUUAAAAGCAAGUACAAAGAAGUGCCUCGGCAUGUGAAUUCUUCUCUCAGAGCCUUUUAUAUGGGGUCAGGACCCACUAUGGAUGUUGUGAGCUUUGAGGUGAGCACUCCACACACACCCACACACACCAUGACAUCACCUGGCUUGUGAGUUCUCUGUUUCCAGGAGAGAGAGCAGCAGCUGCAAUCAAUCAGCUGAUCAGUGGGUGGCCUUCAUAAGGAGGACGGAGGACACUGCUAAGCCGCCGGAUGAUUUCGCCUUACUGACUCAGUCAUCUUUCCAUACACCACCUCCUCGCUGUGACCUUUUUGGAUUUACUUCUCGACCAUACUACGUCUGGACUUCACUCCCGGUUCCCGUCCUCCUCACGGCACUAACUGCUCCCAGCACUACAAGCUCUCUCUCCUCCCCCUCCGGUAGUAAAACCUCGCCGAUCUUCAUCACCCCGGAAUACUCAUUCACUCUCCCAGCUCACCCCUCCCUGGAGGUCCUCCACCACGCUACAUCUACGCUGCUCCCGUUUACCCAUUCACUGGAUUUCCAGUGCACCCUAAGUUCUAGUUACCAAAUAAAUCUUUAUUUUUUCA